AAUGAACGCUGGCGGCGCGCCUAAUACAUGCAAGUCGAGCGAGAAGACGUAGCAAUACGUUUGUAAAGCGGCGAACGGGUGAGGAAUACAUGGGUAACCUACCCUCGAGUGGGGAAUAACUAGCCGAAAGGUUAGCUAAUACCGCGUACGCUUCUUGGACUUCGGUUCAGGGAGGAAAGCGAUGCCGAGGGUAUCGCGCUCUUGGAUGGGCUCAUGUCCUAUCAGCUUGUUGGGAGGUAACGGCUCACCAAGGCUUCGACGGGUAGCUGGUCUGAGAGGACGAUCAGCCACACUGGCACUACGACACGGGCCAGACUCCUACGGAGGCAGCAGUAAGGAAUAUUGCGCAAUGGGCGAAAGCCUGACGCAGCGACGCCGCGUGGGGGAUGAAGGUCUUCGGAUUGUAAA
This 408-nucleotide ribosomal RNA is filed under the name uncultured bacterium. RNAcentral describes it as "bacterial SSU rRNA". It matches the Rfam family "Bacterial small subunit ribosomal RNA", at positions 29 to 429 of the family's 1533-position model. The record is from RNAcentral.